RNAcentral lists this unclassified non-coding RNA (700 nucleotides) under Hevea brasiliensis (rubber tree). Lineage: Eukaryota; Viridiplantae; Streptophyta; Magnoliopsida; Malpighiales; Euphorbiaceae. The record is from RNAcentral.
CAUGCAACUCAUCUUCAAUGUGAACUUCUGGAAAGUGACUCUUCAAGUAAAGGUUCCUUGUCUGGAUGCCCUGUUUGUAUGCCUAAGAAGAAUACCCAGAGACCUAGAAAUAAAUCAAUCCUUCCUGAGAAUGGUUCAGUAAAUAAGGUUUCAUCAAGAUCAAAACGAUCACAAGGAACUAGCUUUUUACACCUGCAUGAAGAUUCAUUGGACAGUUCACAGCAAAUAUCGCGGUUUGAUAUAUUGACUAAUCUUCGAAAAGACCAGAAAUUAGUCCAGAUAGAGAACAUCCCUCAGUUAAGGCUUGCCCCACCAGCUGUUUAUCAUGAAAAGGUGAAAGAAGGACCUGAGCUUUUGACAGGAGAGAGUAGCAGCGGUGCUGCAAAAAUUGAAAAACCGAGCAAAAGGAGGCAACUCAGGGAGCUGAAAGUGACAGGGUCAUCUCUUCGGUUUCCAUUAAAAUCAAGUAUAUUUGGCAAGGAGAAGAUGAAUAAAAGGUGACUGCUGUUUUGUAAAGACUAACAUUGGUAGAGAUUCCAUAGCUGCAUUUCAACAGGCUGAUGAAUUUUGCUGAUUCGAAAUACAACGUUUGUCUGGCUGAGUUUUUGAUCCCUAAUUCAUUACAUGGAAGUAUAUAUAAUAAUGUUACUCACUGAUCAUUUAUGCUAUGAUUCAGCUUAACUACAAUGAACUUGAGGAC